UCCAAUCAUACAACUCCCGCGCACGGUAGCAGGGCGCACCGGCCAAGGCAGUUUGUAACGGAUAUCGCCUUCACUUGGCGUGGAUGACUCCCACCCAUUUUAUCUUGUCAACAGCCAACCAGGUUCCAAGCUGACAUUGGGCCUAGUGGCCAAGAAGCAGUAAAACUCUGCUCACAUCAGGCUCACAACCACACCUGGGCCUACGGUCUCAGGACAAAACUCUGAUUCUGCUUCCGCUCGCGCACACAAAUCUCGAUCCGAUCCCACUACAACAAUCUACUGGUAUCGAUUCCUUUCUCUAAACGAUCCUGGGCGCCCCGGUGUGUCCAUCCAGCGGUUUCCCCAAACGCGAAAAUUUUUGGGCUGCCGCUGGGUGCCGCCCGCCGCGGCGCGGCGCUACAACCGCACUAGUUGUGUCCGGAGUGCGCUGUUUAACAGUGCUGUAGUUAUUCAGCCAAGGAGUCGCACGAUCGGCUGGUGUGUUGCACCAGAUAUGCUGUCCACUAAGAUUAUGUGAAGUGAACGAGUCUGGACAGGCAAAGUUAGGACAGAGGGAAUUGUCGUUUCGUACGUUACAGGAUGCAUCGAUCGUG
Molecule: long non-coding RNA, 593 nt
Filed under: Volvox carteri
Lineage: Eukaryota; Viridiplantae; Chlorophyta; Chlorophyceae; Chlamydomonadales; Volvocaceae
Description: long non-coding RNA (VCAR_LNC003988)
Source: RNAcentral